This 2015-nucleotide long non-coding RNA is filed under the name Homo sapiens (human). RNAcentral's name for it is "HSALNT0032021". The record is from RNAcentral. Lineage: Eukaryota; Metazoa; Chordata; Mammalia; Primates; Hominidae.
GAGAAGGGAGAGGGAGCGCCUGGGACUCGAGACGGCGGCAGGUUCAAUUAGCUAAACAAAGAAAUCAUGGCGGAUUGUUUACAUUUGGCAGCGCCCGGGCUGCGCCGACCGCCGGCCCCGAGCCGCCGCGGGCUCCGAGGAGUCGGCCGAGCUGCUCCCGCGCCCUGGCCGGACGUUUGAAACUAUUGCUUUGCUGAAAACAUCUGACUGCCAGGCUAGGAUGUGACACUUAAGGGACUUACCAAUUUGGGAUUCUUCCAGGAGCUGAAAACUGAUUGCAAAUAUGAAACAGAUUUCACUACAGGACUUGAACCCUACAUUAAAAAACAACAAGCUCCCCAAAAUAAUUGAAAAAGAUCUUCACCAAAGAGUAGCUGCAAUGUGAAUGGCAGGAUAUGAAGCAAGUAAGAGCUUGAAAGUCACUUUUUGAUUUGUUCUACACACUUCGUCACGUGUUCACUGCACAGGAGAGGUCGACUGGCACUCUGCACUGAGCAGAAUCAUAUGUUACCCUCGCCCUGCCAUUUCCAUCAUUCCACUGUGCUCUCCCUGAACCAGAUGGUGAAAAGAUUAUCUUAAGCUUGGAAUUAAGUGAUGAAAGGGACCUUCGAAAUUAUCAACUCUAAAUACUUCUUUACAGGAAAAUUGAAAGCAGUUAAGAACCUGCCCCCUACCGUGGAGUUCUUGGUGCCGUGAGUUGGAGUUCUUGGUGCCUGGGUGCGUCCCCAAGGCCACUGGUCUUCAGAUCUUUCUUACUUGAGAAGAACGCCUCCGCCUCCUGGCUCUCCCACCAGUGGUAUUGCCACCACCACACACCAGCAUAAAGCACAGAUUGCUGCCCAGCUCCUUGGAGAGGGGCCAGUGCAUUUGUCAGGAAUUGAAAAGUUUUGGAGCCAGUUCGAGGACUUUCUCCUGCACAAAGUGUUGGCUGGAAGCAUGAAGCAAUAACACAUGGUUUGCCAAAGAAUCUGCAUUGAAUAAUACUGGUGGUGACCACAAGAACAUGCCUCUCUGACUGCAAGGAACAAGAGUGACCCAGGGUUUCAGCUGCUGCCUUGGAAAUUCAUCACAGUGCAAGUCUAUGCUUCCCACGGGCUGCUCCCAGCCUGUGAAUAAGCCUGGCAUCUUUGUUGAGGCAGGCCUAUUUCUGGAGAUGCAGGAUCCUCCGAUGGGCGAAUUUGGCUCUAGGACUGCUUGAUGGCCUUGACAGACUUUCCUUAGAAAUGCAUGGCAAUUUAGGGUUCCUCCACCCUUCCCUCUUUCUCUCCUUCACCUAGGGUCGGACUUGCAUCAUGGCCUGAAAGCUCCACCAGCCUCUCCUGCCCUCCUCCUCAUUUUCUUUCACAGGCAUAUCCUCUAAUAAAUUUCUUGCACAUUGAAUCUCAUCUUGGCAUCUACUUAUUGGAGGAUCUGAAAAUUCACAUUUUUAACACAAUAAUAAAAUUCACAUUUUUUCAUCAUCCACUAUAUGCCAAGUAAUGUGUUACUGUGUAGUCUCAUUAAAUCCUCUCAAAUCCAAGAGAUAAGAAUUACAUUUAUUUUACAAGAAGAAAAGCAGUCACUCUGAGAGGUAAAAUAAUGUAUAUGGCAGUAGAUUGCAGAGUUAGCAUUUGAAGAAUGUUCGGUUGUACUCCAAAGCCCACCACAAAACUCCACCACUAAACCACAGCACCUUUGGAGCAAUUGGAAUGACGAUUCUGUUCAAAUCAUAUUAAUACCAAUCACUGUAUUUGACUUUUUCGUUUAGAUGUGGCUGUGAUUGAAAAAUCAUGGUCUUUGUAUAUAGUCACCUGUUCUAUCUGCCUUUGUUUUGGGGGACUGCCACCUGAAAUUCCUGACUUUUACCCUGGGAGGGGCUUGUGCAGAGGAUCUGAGUUACUCAUCUGAACGGACUGCCUAAAGACACCUCAGUUUGUGUUGUCUGUGCAUUCACUCAGCCUCCAUAGCUAAACUAAGAUGCUGGGAAUGAGAGACUGUUCAAGGAGUAGAAGCCUUGCUUCUAGCUUCUAUAUUCC